Molecule: ribosomal RNA, 255 nt
Filed under: uncultured bacterium
Lineage: Bacteria
Description: partial 16S ribosomal RNA
Rfam family: Bacterial small subunit ribosomal RNA
Source: RNAcentral
GACGAAGGGGGGCUAGCGUUGUUCGGAAUUACUGGGCGUAAAGCGAGUGUAGGUGGUUGUCCAAGUUGGAUGUGAAAGCCUUGAGCUCAACUCAAGAAAUGCAUUCAGGACUGGGCGGCUAGAGGACCGGAGAGGAUAGUGGAAUUCCCAGUGUAGUGGUGAAAAUACGUAGAGAUUGGGAAGAACACCAGUGGCGAAGGCGGCUAUCUGGACGGUUUCUGACACUAAGACUCGACAGCGUGGGGAUCAAACAGG